AGUUGAUUGUACAUCAAAUAAUUUUAAUAACUGCUACCUUUUUAAGUUCUUACUCCUUCAAAUUCCCACUGGUAUAUACAUCUUAGAUGCUGAUGACUUUCCCUUUGCCUUAUAUUUUAUAAUUCUGUGAAUUCAGUCAUUAGAGAUGCUUUUUGUUCUAUAUAUAUACUUUAUAGAAACAUACUAGGGUUAUGCCAGAGUUUAACCUGCCAUGUGGGAACUGUGAAAGUUGCAUAAAAUUUUUUCAGUUACAGAUAGUCUGUGAAUUAUCUGCCUUGUGCAGUCUCUUCUUAACAUGUUGAGUAAUUUUCCCUUUAUUUCCCAAGUAUCCUU
This 333-nucleotide long non-coding RNA is filed under the name Bos taurus (domestic cattle). Its description in RNAcentral is "long non-coding RNA NONBTAT019336". The record is from RNAcentral. Lineage: Eukaryota; Metazoa; Chordata; Mammalia; Artiodactyla; Bovidae.